Long non-coding RNA from Cyprinus carpio carpio, 988 nucleotides. The record is from Ensembl. Lineage: Eukaryota; Metazoa; Chordata; Actinopteri; Cypriniformes; Cyprinidae.
UUCAGCCCUUAGACAAAGAAAAUCUCACAAGCACUCAUAAACACUCAUUUUCAUCUCUAUAAUAUGUUCUUCUAAUUGUUUUUUGUUGAUUCGCCGCUGUGUUUUAAUGUAAAAGACUGUAGUUUCUGUAUGUACACUUUUUUUCCCUUCAAGUGUUCAGACGUCUCGCGCUGUCAGACAGGCUGCAGCAAAUAUUUCAUUUUAACAUGUUAACAGCUCACAAACAUCUGAAUUUAGCUCUUGGUGUGUUCUAAUUGGCGGAUUGUGUGCAAUCGCCGUAAUAUUUUAUUUUUAAAAGGUCUUAAACAAGAAUAAACUCGUUUGUUGUGAGCUCGUUGAGACAGCACGCGCUGUUCGGAGCGGUGACAUAUCUCUCGUCUAUCUCUCUGUUCUCUGUCGCCAGACAUCAAUUAUUAAUAAGCCCUGACCCGCUAAUAAUAAGAUAUGUUGGUUUAGCUUGUCAGUGUGAAUUAAAUGUAUUUAUUUAGUUGUAUUUUUAACCGAUUUAAAAGUGAAACUAAGCGAGACUCCUCCCUCUCAGUCCCGGGAAUUGCUCCUGUAGAGGCGCAUUUUCUCUCAGACAAUGAAAGUCUCAGCAUACAUACAUUCCUCACACAGAGCCAAAAAUCCAUAUUCAAAUCAAAAUAGCCGACUUCCUGUUGGUCGUAGCUAAUGACUGUAAAUUAGAAAGUUGUCCGUCUUAAUAAGAACAAUAUAUGUACCGAGUUUGGUGUCUGUAGCUAAAACUAAGCCCCCCACUUUUGACAAAAGGUGGCGCUAUAGAGUGCCCCCUCCACGCCCUAUUAUGAUCUUUUGCCAUUGUAUAUCUAUCAUUAAUUCUGAUAUAUGUUUUGUGUUUCAUGUUAUUCUGAGCAUGUUAUCUGCCUCAAAAUCACCAGAACAGAAUAUUCAAGAUUGACACGUUGCCAUGGCAACACGAUAUUAGAUAUCAAUAUCCCCACAACAUAUUUACAUCGUCCGUGUUUUG